Molecule: ribosomal RNA, 254 nt
Filed under: uncultured bacterium
Lineage: Bacteria
Description: partial 16S ribosomal RNA
Rfam family: Bacterial small subunit ribosomal RNA
Source: RNAcentral
UACGAAGGGGGGCUAGCGUUGCUCGGAAUCACUGGGCGUAAAGCGCGCGUAGGCGGACCUGCAAGUCGGGGGUGAAAGCCCGAGGCUCAACCUCGGAACUGCCUUCGAUACUGCGGGUCUCGAGUCCGGGAGAGGUGAGUGGAAUUCCUAGUGUAGAGGUGAAAUUCGUAGAUAUUAGGAAGAACACCAGUGGCGAAGGCGGCUCACUGGCCCGGUACUGACGCUGAGGCGCGAAAGCGUGGGGAGCAAACAGG